UAGGGAAUCUUCAGCAAUGGACGAAAGUCUGACCGAGCAACGCCGCGUGAGUGAAGAAGGUUUUCGGAUCGUAAAACUCUGUUGGUAGAGAAGAACGUUGGUGAGAGUGGAAAGCUCAUCAAGUGACGGUAACUACCCAGAAAGGGACGGCUAACUACGUGCCUG
This 165-nucleotide ribosomal RNA is filed under the name uncultured bacterium. Its description in RNAcentral is "partial 16S ribosomal RNA". It matches the Rfam family "Bacterial small subunit ribosomal RNA", at positions 355 to 511 of the family's 1533-position model. The record is from RNAcentral.